CUUGGAGGCUGGGCCAAAAAUGCCACCGGAACUGCGGCCCAGCAAAAAGGGAAGUAGGGGAGAGCACGGCACUGUUCAGCCAACACUAAGAGACAGGUACAGCGCACCCUUGUGCCCGGAGGAAGGAUCGAAGCCGUAGAGGCUCCAUGGCUCCGAAGGAAAAAUUAAAAUGGCACCUAACCUGGCAAUCUCUAUGGCGAGCACCUUGAAGACUGAGAUUGUAUUGAUCAUCUCUGACUAACAGGGAAUUUGCCUUGCUAGUUUUAAGAUGGAGUUGAUUUUAAAAUGAUGUCACUCUGGCUCUCGUAGGCUCCUGCUUCCCUAACAAAAAGACCUUCAACAUCAUUAAUUAUCAGAGAAAUGCAAAUCAAAACAAUGAGAUACUACUUCAUACCCCUUAGGAUGGCUAUAAUAUCUUUAAAAGGAAGAUAUCACAUACUGGUGAGGAGGUGGAGAAAUCAAAAGCCUCAUACACUGCUGCUGGGAUGGGUGCAGUCACUUUCAUGGGCGUCCGUGUGAAGAGACCACCAAACAGGCUUUGUGUGAGCA
Molecule: long non-coding RNA, 549 nt
Filed under: Homo sapiens (human)
Lineage: Eukaryota; Metazoa; Chordata; Mammalia; Primates; Hominidae
Description: HSALNT0382850
Source: RNAcentral